Solanum dulcamara is the source of this 742-nucleotide long non-coding RNA. RefSeq lists it as uncharacterized. The transcript is spliced from 3 exons. Lineage: Eukaryota; Viridiplantae; Streptophyta; Magnoliopsida; Solanales; Solanaceae. The record is from RefSeq and is a predicted model, not a curated record.
UUUUGGCUCCAUAUUAUUUGGGGCGACUUUCAAAAUAUUGCUGGCAUAUGUCUAUUUGGAGCGACUGGGUCGCUGCUACAAUUCUCUUUGGAAAAAACACAAGGCACAAUACAGUCUCUCUCUUCAUUGUUCCUCUUUGCUGCUCUAAAUCCCCAAAUUCAAAAUCCAUGUCCCUUUUUUGCUGAUCUUUGCUGCUCAAGUUCCCUUCGUCAUUGCUGAUCUUUUCUACUCAAGUUCUUAAGUUUGCUGCUCCCUUCUCUGCUUUCAAUUAGUGACCCAAAAGCUCAAAUCAGAUAUGUGUCAAGUUCUUAAUCCUUGCCUUUUUCUCUUCCGUAAUAGGAAAGAAAGUUGGGAUUUAUUUUUGAUUUGCCAAACGCAACAAGUAUUAAGGGAAAAAAAUAAGUUAGGGUUUUUUUGGUAAUGAUUCCAUGAGAAAUUUUUCAACAUCCAUUUUGGGAAUUGUUUAUGGAAUAAAGAGCAAUGACAACAUCCUUAUUCAUUUUGCCACAAUGAAGCUUUGGCGGGACAAAGUUUGUGAAUAAUGGGUCGACCAAGGAAGAGCUUGAAGGCGUGUAAUGAAAGUUUUUUUCCAUCAUAUCUAAAUAUGCAUACAUUGUCACUUAUGUACUAUGUAUUAGACUUUCUAGUAAUGAAAGUACUUAUAAUAUUCAGCUUGAGAAUACUUUUGCCAUUUGUAAAUACAAUUGGAUGUUGUUAAUAACUAUAUAUUAAUUUUAGAGUA